Xylaria cubensis is the source of this 68-nucleotide non-coding RNA. NCBI's taxonomy places the organism in Eukaryota, Fungi, Ascomycota, Sordariomycetes, Xylariales, Xylariaceae. The record is from the annotation of a GenBank genome assembly.
GCCUUAGUGGUAGCGGUAAUACAUGCGGCGCUUGGCUGUAGUUCCGGGUUCAACUCCCGGCCAGGGCG